This 480-nucleotide long non-coding RNA is filed under the name Rattus norvegicus (Norway rat). RNAcentral describes it as "long non-coding RNA NONRATT029208". The record is from RNAcentral. Lineage: Eukaryota; Metazoa; Chordata; Mammalia; Rodentia; Muridae.
CUACCUGAAGGAGAGGCCCCCGGCGGAAAGUUUGUUGUGGGAUUUUUGAGUAGUCGCGCUGGAAGCUUGAAGACCCAGGGACCCCAGGGACCCCAGGGACCGGAAGAAAUCACAUUGCCUGCUUGGAAAGACGAGGAGCUCUUGGCUAGAGGAAGUAGAGGGGCCGUGGGAUGAGGAGAGCGGAAGGCUAACUCCAGGAGAGCAGAACAGAGAGAGGUGCCAGCGCGCAGACGGUCACCGAGCCAACACCUUCCAGGAUGACCAGUGCUGCCCCUGCUAAGAAACCUUACCGGAAGGCACCUCCCGAGCAUCGAGAGCUGCGCCUGGAAACCCCUGUGUCCCGGCUUGAGCAACAGGAGCCCUUGACGGAUGCAGAGAGGAUGCAGUGAGUAUUGACUCCCGUCACUGGACUGCGCACUGUGCCCUUUUCACUCCCUGCUGGGCUAUUGGCAUCACCAGACUCCCUUACAUCUGCCCUUC